RNAcentral lists this unclassified non-coding RNA (381 nucleotides) under soil metagenome. RNAcentral's name for it is "partial contains 5.8S ribosomal RNA, internal transcribed spacer 2, and large subunit ribosomal RNA". The stretch from base 1 to 120 matches the Rfam family "5.8S ribosomal RNA", at positions 35 to 154 of the family's 154-position model. The record is from RNAcentral.
GAUGAAGAACGUAGCGAAAUGCGAUAAGUAAUGUGAAUUGCAGAAUUCAGUGAAUCAUCGAAUCUUUGAACGCACCUUGCGCUCCUUGGUAUUCCGAGGAGCAUGCCUGUUUGAGUGUCAUCAAUAUAUCAACCUCUUCAGCUUAUGCUUGUUGAGUGUUGGAUGGUGGGGGUUUGCUGGUGUCUUAUGAAGUCAGCUCCUCUGAAAUGCAUUAGCGGAACAAUUUGUUGACCGUUCAUUGGUGUGAUAAAAAUAUCUACGCUAUUGACGUCAGUCAGUUCAGCUUCUAACAGUCCAUUGACUUGGACAAAUUUUUCAUUAAUGUGACCUCAAAUCAGGUAGGACUACCCGCUGAACUUAAGCAUAUCAAUAAGCGGAGGA